UGGGGAAUAUUGCACAAUGGGGGAAACCCUGAUGCAGCCAUGCCGCGUGUGUGAAGAAGGCCUUCGGGUUGUAAAGCACUUUCAGUGGUGAGGAAAGGGUAAUCGUUAAUAGCGGUUACAGUUGACGUUAGCCACAGAAGAAGCACCGGCUAACUCCGUGCCAGCAGCCGCGGUAAUACGGAGGGUGCAAGCGUUAAUCGGAAUUACUGGGCGUAAAGCGUACGUAGGCGGUGUGUUAAGCUAGAUGUGAAAGCCCCGGGCUCAACCUGGGAAUAGCAUUUAGAACUGGCACGCUAGAGUCCUGAAGAGGGUGGUAGAAUUUCCAGUGUAGCGGUGAAAUGCGUAGAUAU
RNAcentral lists this ribosomal RNA (350 nucleotides) under uncultured bacterium. RNAcentral describes it as "bacterial SSU rRNA". It matches the Rfam family "Bacterial small subunit ribosomal RNA", at positions 355 to 697 of the family's 1533-position model. The record is from RNAcentral.